Poecilia latipinna (sailfin molly) is the source of this 247-nucleotide long non-coding RNA. RefSeq lists it as uncharacterized. The transcript is spliced from 3 exons. Lineage: Eukaryota; Metazoa; Chordata; Actinopteri; Cyprinodontiformes; Poeciliidae. The record is from RefSeq and is a predicted model, not a curated record.
GAAGGACUUUUUCACAGUGACUCUGCAUAGUGGGCCAUUCCUGGGAGAAGAAAAACAUUUAUUGCAGAGGUGAUGCAGAACCAUGAUACAGAUCCUGAAGUGCAACGUUGAUCUGAGCUGCUGCUGCCUCCGCCUGAUCCUCAACCAGCUUCCUCACAGACAGACCCCUCUCCGUGUCUCUUACCAUCUCAGCCAGAGUCGUGUUCCUGAUCAAACAGGGUCUGGAGGGAAACCUCUGUCCACAUUC